This 633-nucleotide ribosomal RNA is filed under the name Microbacterium paraoxydans. RNAcentral describes it as "bacterial SSU rRNA". It matches the Rfam family "Bacterial small subunit ribosomal RNA", at positions 35 to 678 of the family's 1533-position model. Lineage: Bacteria; Bacillati; Actinomycetota; Actinomycetes; Micrococcales; Microbacteriaceae. The record is from RNAcentral.
GCCGUGCGGCGUUCUUACACAUGCAAGUCGAACGGUGAACACGGAGCUUGCUCUGUGGGAUCAGUGGCGAACGGGUGAGUAACACGUGAGCAACCUGCCCCUGACUCUGGGAUAAGCGCUGGAAACGGCGUCUAAUACUGGAUAUGUGACGUGACCGCAUGGUCUGCGUUUGGAAAGAUUUUUCGGUUGGGGAUGGGCUCGCGGCCUAUCAGCUUGUUGGUGAGGUAAUGGCUCACCAAGGCGUCGACGGGUAGCCGGCCUGAGAGGGUGACCGGCCACACUGGGACUGAGACACGGCCCAGACUCCUACGGGAGGCAGCAGUGGGGAAUAUUGCACAAUGGGCGAAAGCCUGAUGCAGCAACGCCGCGUGAGGGAUGACGGCCUUCGGGUUGUAAACCUCUUUUAGCAGGGAAGAAGCGAAAGUGACGGUACCUGCAGAAAAAGCGCCGGCUAACUACGUGCCAGCAGCCGCGGUAAUACGUAGGGCGCAAGCGUUAUCCGGAAUUAUUGGGCGUAAAGAGCUCGUAGGCGGUUUGUCGCGUCUGCUGUGAAAUCCCGAGGCUCAACCUCGGGCCUGCAGUGGGUACGGGCAGACUAGAGUGCGGUAGGGGAGAUUGGAAUUCCUGGUGUAG